Molecule: transfer RNA, 75 nt
Filed under: Candidatus Peregrinibacteria bacterium
Lineage: Bacteria; Candidatus Peregrinibacteriota
Description: tRNA-Arg
Rfam family: tRNA
About the family: Transfer RNA (tRNA) molecules are approximately 80 nucleotides in length.
Source: RNAcentral
GCUCCCGUAGUUCAAUGGAUAGAACAAUGGACUUCUAAUCCUUAGAUCGUGGUUCGAUCCCACGCGGGAGUACCA